AGAGGUCCCGCCUGCCCAGUGACACCCAGUUCAACGGCCGCGGUAUUUUGACCGUGCAAAGGUAGCGUAAUCACUUGUCUUUUAAAUGAAGACCUGUAUGAAUGGCAUAACGAGGGCUUAACUGUCUCCUCUCUCAAGUCAAUGAAGUUGAUCUCCCCGUGCAGAAGCGGGGAUAAUUACAUAAGACGAGAAGACCCUAUGGAGCUUGAGACGAUAGGGCAGCCCAUGUUAAACACCCCCCACACCGGACCAAACUAAAUGGCUCCUGCCUUAAUGUCUUCGGUUGGGGCGACCCUGGGGAAUACAAAACCCCCACGUGGAAUAGGAGCACCCGUCCCCCCCCCCGACUCCUCCAAACUAGAGCCACACCUCAAAUUAACAAAACUUUUGACCAAAAAUGAUCCGGCAACGCCGAUCAACGGACCAAGUUACCCUAGGGGAUAACAGCGCAAUCCCCUUUUUAGAGCCCAUAUCGACAAGGGGGUUUACGACCUCGAUGUUGGAUCAGGACAUCCUAUGGUGCAGCCCUAUAAGGUUCGUUUGUCACGAUUAAGUCUAGUGUUGGG
RNAcentral lists this ribosomal RNA (566 nucleotides) under Lepidorhombus boscii (fourspotted megrim). Its description in RNAcentral is "partial 16S ribosomal RNA". It matches the Rfam family "Bacterial large subunit ribosomal RNA", at positions 1848 to 2609 of the family's 2925-position model. Lineage: Eukaryota; Metazoa; Chordata; Actinopteri; Pleuronectiformes; Scophthalmidae. The record is from RNAcentral.